AGCCUCAUUUCCCCUUUGCCACUCACCCCCAAAACUUAGGGCAGAAGACCGUAUAGUGCCUGGGGUUUACAUUAGUACAAAAUCACUUUCAUUCAGGAUAAAGUUCUGUAUCCAUAAACAUGCCUUUACAUGACACCGGGCAUACACGACAUGGGACCUGAAGAAAAGGACAAGGCACUGAAUAAUUUUUAUUUAUUUAUUUCUUUAUUUACUUAUUCAUCACGUAUGUAGUGACUGAGAAUUUGCCAAUUACCAGGAACUGCCCUAGACGUUUAACACUUUUAUGUGAGCCUUAAAAGAUAGACGCGUUCAUGUCCUUUGCCUACUUUUUAAUGGGAUUAUUUUUUUGUUGUAAAUUUGUUUAAUUUCCUUGUAGAUUCUAGAUAUUAGACCUUUUUUAGAUGGAUAGAUUGCAAAAUAUUUCUCCCAUUCUGUAGGUUGCCUUUUCACCUUGAUGGUAGUUUCUUUUGCUUUCAGAAGCUCUUUAGUUUAAUUAGAUCCCAUUUGUCAAUUUUUGCUUUUGUUGCAAUUGCUUUUCGCAAUUUGGUCAUGAAAUUUUUGCCCGUGCCUAUGUCCUGAAUGGUAUUGACAUGAACAGACACUUCGCAAAAGAAGACAUUCAUGCGGUCAACAAACAUUAAAAAAAAAAGCACAACAUCACUGAUCAUUAGAGAAAUGCAAACCAAAACCUCAUUGAAAUACCAUCUCAUGUCAGUCAGAAUGGCAGUUAUUAAAAAGUCAAGAAACAACAGAUACUGGUGAGGCUGUGGAGAAAUAGGAAGGCUUUUACACUGUUGGUGGGAAUGUAAAUUAGUUCAAACCUUGUGGAAGAUGGUGUGGUGAGUCCUCAAAGAUCUAGAACCAGAAAUAACAUUUGACCCAGCAAUCCCUUUACUGGGUAUAUACCCAAAGGAAUGUAAGUCAUUCUGUUACAAAGAUACGUGUACACAUAUGUUCACUGCAGCACUAUUCACAAUAGCAAAGACAUAGAAUCAAUCUGAAUGCCUAUCAAUGAUAGACUGGAUAAAGAAAAUGUGGUACAUAUAUACCAUAGAAUACUAUGCAGCCAUUAAAAGGAAUGAGAUCAUGUCCUUUGCAGGGACAUGGAUGGAGUUGGAAGUCAUUAUUCUCAGCAAACUAAC
Molecule: long non-coding RNA, 1142 nt
Filed under: Homo sapiens (human)
Lineage: Eukaryota; Metazoa; Chordata; Mammalia; Primates; Hominidae
Description: non-protein coding lnc-DKK3-9:1
Source: RNAcentral